GAUGAACGCUGGCGGCGUGCCUAAUACAUGCAAGUCGAGCGAACGGACGAGAAGCUUGCUUCUCUGAUGUUAGCGGCGGACGGGUGAGUAACACGUGGAUAACCUACCUAUAAGACUGGGAUAACUUCGGGAAACCGGAGCUAAUACCGGAUAAUAUUUUGAACCGCAUGGCUCAAAAGUGAAAGACGGUCUUGCUGUCACUUAUAGAUGGAUCCGCGCUGCAUUAGCUAGUUGGUAAGGUAACGGCUUACCAAGGCAACGAUGCAUAGCCGACCUGAGAGGGUGAUCGGCCACACUGGAACUGAGACACGGUCCAGACUCCUACGGGAGGCAGCAGUAGGGAAUCUUCCGCAAUGGGCGAAAGCCUGACGGAGCAACGCCGCGUGAGUGAUGAAGGUCUUCGGAUCGUAAAACUCUGUUAUUAGGGAAGAACAUAUGUGUAAGUAACUGUGCGCAUCUUGACGGUACCUAAUCAGAAAGCCACGGCUAACUACGUG
Molecule: ribosomal RNA, 497 nt
Filed under: uncultured bacterium
Lineage: Bacteria
Description: partial 16S ribosomal RNA
Rfam family: Bacterial small subunit ribosomal RNA
Source: RNAcentral